ACUCAAAUGAAUUGACGGGGGCCCGCACAAGCGGCGGAGCGUGCGGUUUAAUUCGACGCAACGCGCAGAACCUUACCAGGGCUUGACAUGACGCUGCAGACGCCGGAAACGGCGGGGCCUUCGAGGGUGCGUCACAGGUGCUGCAUGGCUGUCGUCAGCUCGUGUCGUGAGAUGUUGGGUUAAGUCCCGCAACGAGCGCAACCCUCGCGACCAGUUACGUGGGUGUCUGGUCGGACUGCCGGUAGCAAGCCGGAGGAAGGCGGGGAUGACGUCAAGUCAGCAUGGCCCUUACGUCCUGGGCUACACGCACGCUACAAUGGGUGGGACAACGGGUAGCCAAGCCGCGAGGCGGAGCGAAUCCCCUAAACCCAUCCUCAGUUCAGAUUGUGGGCUGCAACUCGCCCGCAUGAAGUCGGAGUCGCUAGUAACCGCCGGUCAGCAGUACGGCGGUGAAUACGUUCCCGGGCCUUGUACACACCGCCCGU
RNAcentral lists this ribosomal RNA (485 nucleotides) under uncultured bacterium. RNAcentral describes it as "partial 16S ribosomal RNA". It matches the Rfam family "Bacterial small subunit ribosomal RNA", at positions 899 to 1397 of the family's 1533-position model. The record is from RNAcentral.